AUACCCACCACCGGCACUUCCAUAACUCUGAGCAGCUGUUCCACUAUAUCCUCCAUAGUCCAUAACUACUGCCGGCCUCUAGAACCAUAGGAUUGAUCUAUUAACGAGAAAGGUCUCAGCUGGUACCCACCUUUAAACUAGACCCUGAAAUUUGCUUCCUUUCUGGUUAUGGUGAAUUGGGUUUUGGAGCUUUGGGUUUUGAUUUGUGAAGCGAAUUUUUCUCUGGGUUUCACAAGAGGAGGAAGAAGAGAAGAAGCAAUGGGAGGCUCUCAGGCAAAAAGGGGAUGAGUUGAUCUCACCAUGCUUUUGCAAAGGCACCCAGCAGUUUGUGCAUACAUCCUGUCUUGAUCACUGGCGCUCGGUUAAGGAAGGAUUUGCUUUCUCACACUGCACCACUUGCAAAGCCCAAUUUCAUCUUCAAGUUGAAUCCUAUGAGGACAACUCUUGGCGUAAAAUUAAGUUCAAAUUUUUUUGUGGCAAAGGAUGCUUUACUUGUAUUUGUGGCUGUACAAACAGGAAUUACCGCAAUUGGUGGCUUUGCAUAUUUGAUGGACAAAGAUGGUGGCUUCAGGAAUUCAUUCAGUGAUGGUUGGGAUCGUAUAUUGUCAAAGCACUCUAUACCAUUUUACUAUUGCAUAGGUAAACUCUUACAGAGACAUUACCAAAUCCUGCCAGAUUCCCUCUUGGUAUAUUGUCAGGAUAUGGUUAGUUGCAGUGUUGCACACAGUGAUUAGCUUUCCAUGAACUUAGAAGAAAUUUUCUAAUCUGAAAACUACUUU
This is an RNA transcript of Fragaria vesca subsp. vesca, 779 nucleotides long. RefSeq lists it as uncharacterized. Lineage: Eukaryota; Viridiplantae; Streptophyta; Magnoliopsida; Rosales; Rosaceae. The transcript is spliced from 4 exons. The record is from RefSeq and is a predicted model, not a curated record.